This 471-nucleotide long non-coding RNA is filed under the name Delphinapterus leucas (beluga whale). RNAcentral's name for it is "lncRNA (ENSDLEG00000009489.1)". Lineage: Eukaryota; Metazoa; Chordata; Mammalia; Artiodactyla; Monodontidae. The record is from RNAcentral.
UUGCCCUGGGAACCGGAGCAGGGGCCCCGGGAGGGCCCUGCGCCAAGGGCAAGGCUGCCUCGAUGCGCAGAAGCCUCAGCAUCGUCCUGGCCUCGCUUGGGUCUUAACUUUUCCGUUUUGAAUACUAACUUUGGCUUUUGUCUCUUUUUUUAAACUACAGGUACUGUUUUCAUUAAAGGCGUUCUAAACACAAGAGUACUUUCCUAACUUUAGCCCCAGUUCCUGUCCGCAAAGGAAGCCUAUUAAGAAUUUCUUUAUAUCCAUAACCUGCAUAAUAUGCGUACAGGAAGCUCUGGAACGCAACGAAAGCAAGAUUCUUCGUCUGCAGCUUGAACUCUCAGAAACUAAAGCGGAAAUUGAAAGAAAGCUUUCAGAGAAAGAUGAAGAGAUAGAAAAAUAGGAGGAAGCAGCAGUGUGCUAUUGACUCCCUGCAGUCGAGUCUAGAUUCUGAAGUUCGGAGCAGAAUUGAGG